UAAUGUCAUUCUAAUGACAAACCUAAUAAAUAUGGCGACAAGUGUGUUUAUUUCUCAUGAGGCCAUAUUUUGAAAUUGAUUAUUACAAAAAACUGUGUUCAAUAUGACAUCACUUAUAGAGAAGAUAGAAAAGUUAAUCAAAAGGGAAAAAACAACACCAGAGCAAAAGAAAGAUGAUUCCACGAAGACAUCAAGUGAGAUUCUAUCCGAGUUGUUCAGUGCAUUCAAUGCGGCGCCGCCUAAAAUCGACGAGGUUUCUAUAAAAAAGAAAAAGAGCAAGAAGAAACACAAGAAAAAGGAUAAGAAAAGGAAUCGAAGUAGCAGCACCAGUAGUGAAUCCGACAAUAGCGAGUAUUCACACAAACGUAAAAAGAGGAAAAAGAGCAAGUUAAAAAAACGUAAACACAGCCGCUCACCUUCGUCUAAACGGUCCCUUACACCUGUUCUAACCAAACCUAACUUGGAUCUAAUUAAGUUAAAGUAUAAAACAGAACACAUUCAGUCCGAGGAUGUUAAAAACAUCGUAAAAUUGGAGCCGAAAGAGGAAGAUGUACCCAUAAAAUUAGAGGACUCGAUAUACGGUAUUAAGGAAGAAAAUAUUGACGCUAGUUUGAUACCUAUGCCCGAUUCACCUAAAGAACUAACAGGCACUGAUACAAAGGCUACAGCAGAAUUGAAAAAAGACUUGCCCACAGACAAUGACAAGUCUAAAGGCAAAAUUCAAAUUAAGAAUUUGAAAUUUAGUGCUAUAUUUGAGGAAACAGUUAAAAAGGCUGAAGAAGAGGCUAGAAAAAGAGCAGAGAAAUAUGAGGAAGGGGAAUACACAGAUUCCUCUACGGGUUCUAUCAAAAUGGUAUCAAAUUCACAGUUCCCUAAAACAUCAGACCCUGGAGGUAUACUUAAACAACAGGCCGCUGAAGAAAGCAAAAUGUUGGAAGAAAUUAAGAACAGCCCAAGAAAAGGCUCUCACAAGUCAUCACGCAAAGAGAGAUCUAGAAGCAAAUCCCGCCGAUCGAGAUCUCCAUCGACGUCGAAGAAACGUCGGCACAGGUCGAAAUCUCCGCAGAAGUCAAAAUCACGCCAUCGGUCAAAAUCUCGUCACAGGUCAAGAUCUCGACAUAGAUCAAGGUCACGGAGAAGGUCUAACUCAACAUCGAGGCACAGAUCGCGACAUUAUUCUCCAAGACAUAGAAGUAGGAGGUCUAGAUCUCCAAGUGGAGUAAAACUAGCAGACAGUGAGAAGAAACGUCUUUUAGAGGUGGCUCGCAGGAAUGCGAUCAACAUGCUCAAGAACGGCGCGGUGCCGGCCGGCGCUGCUGCGUUACCGCCGCACACUAGGAACCAAGUCAUGGCAGCUAUUCAGUCUGGAGGCAAAUCAGUAGACGAAUUGACAGAUUUCUGCAAGCACUUGUCAAAGAAAGAAGCGCUUGGUGAACUGUCAUCCGUCUCCUCCAAUGAUGAUGAUAUGAGCGAGAACGAGGACACACUUGCAUUCCACCAUCCAUUCUUAGUCAAGGAAAAGGCACCUAUAGUCAUGAAUAUCAGGGGUGGCGCCCCAUUGCCAGUUAAAUCUACCGCAGUGGCUGUGGUGAACAAGGAAGAGUUACGGAUACAAUUCCCUGUCUCCUCUGGGUCACAGCACAGGGAGAAAGCAUCCGAGUGGGUGCCCGUGUCACCGCCCAAGAAAGAUAUGCAAAUUGCAAAGCUGAAUUCUAAAACUCCAACUUCAACAAAGCCUGCAAUUACUGAGACUGUAAAGCCUCCGUCGGGCCCGCUGGCCCUGCCGGCGCCGCCGCCCGCCGCCGCGCCCGCCGCCGCGCCCGCCUACAUAAAGAACUUUACUUCAGGAACGCAGUUGACAUCCGUGCCAGCGCUGCCGGCCCCCGGUCCACAGGCGUAUCCCCCGGGCGUAGAUCCACCUGCCAUUGACAUGGCAUCGAUCGUGUCGCAGAAAUUGUCCAUGAUUCGCAGAGCACAAGAGGAAAAUGAAUUAACCGCAACACAUGGGUUUGGCUGGUCAAAGGAUUCUACGCUAGGUCAGUUCACAGGCACCACUGGUGCACAGAUACUGACGCCUAAGGAGCUCGCCAGCGGCACACAGGCAUGGGCCAAAAAGCUGAGAGCGUCGUGGGUCGGGACCACGCUGUUUGCGCCGCUGCGGUCAGAACUUAUAAUACACAUGUAUUAUGUUUUCUGACCUUGUUUUGUCAUUAUAGUGAUAGUUGUAACAACAUUUAAUUCCCUUGACUAUUCACUAAAUUAGUGCCUUGUUAUAUAUGGUAUGCACUCUUUAAAUUUUUUCAUAACACUCUGUAAAAAAGUUGUAAAUUAAAUAUAUAAUACUUAUUUAUUCUAACAGGUACGUAUUUAUAUAAAUAACUGACGUCAUUAUAUUUUAGUAUCCUAUUCAUAGUUUUUAUUUGGAUUCCAAUAUUAAUACAUGUAAUUAAUUUACCAUUAUUCUAACACUGAAUUCGUUUUCUAUAGCAUGAUCAACUAUUAUGGUAGAUAUAAGUAUAAUGUACAAGUAUAUGAAGUCAUAUUUACCUAUACAAUAUUAAUAUAUACAUAUCUAUGUUAUUAAUUAAUUUAAACAAAUAACGUCAUACCACAAAUUCGAUGAAAAUUAAAAAUAAAAUAAAGCGUAAUGUGAAAACUUAUUCAAAAAUUGUUUUUGAUGAGCAAUUUACAAUUACGUUCAUAUGCUGUAACCACACAUUUCAUAUAAUGCAUAACGGACUCAUAAAUAAAUAUUGAUUUAACGAAAAAAUAUCGUAUUAUCCUGAAAAAAGUAAUCUCAAAAAUGUUACUAAGCAACAUAAAAUGUUUCAGUUUUGAAAUUUGUUUUUCUAAAUGUUACACUUGCUGUUGUCGAAAUUCAUAUAUUUGCUCACCAUACACACACAUAUUCCGAAAACCACAUGUAAACUAUUUGUAAAAUAUGUAUUAUGUUUCCCUAAGUAUUUAAUAAUGCCUAUUUCGUAUGCCAGUAUGAAUCUCAAAUGUUGCUACAACCAUCAUAGAAUUCCAUUCAAUUCGUGCCGUGUAAAGGGAGAACUGUUGAGUUCGCUCAUUACACUCUGUUUGUCACAAAGUUUACAAUGUAAUGAUAAUUGUCGUGCCAUACACACAGUGGCAUGUCAAUCAUCAUUACUUUAUAUUGCUAACAAAUAUUCAGUUUUCCCCUUUCUUUACGACUGACAAUUUGUUGAUUUAUUAAGUUUAAAAUAUUUAUGCCUUCAUUGGCCCACCAAUUUAUAUGCAAUGAAAAAAAAACAAUUUGCAACAAAAUUUAGUUGCCUUAUGCACUCUCUAUACGUGAAUUAAUUUGAAAUAAAAAUGUAAAUAAGAAAUUCAUUUCAAUAUUUGUCCAAGUUCAUACUGCAACUUUUAACAAUAAAAAAUAAGUCAGUCCCGCAAACAAAGCCAGCCUAGUGAUUCUUUGAGCUGUUUAAAACGCAGUUAUAUUUUCUUUUAUUGAGUGUUUUGCUCGGCUCAUAGAAAAUCAUGGCUGCUACGGGGAAUUCAUGAAUAUUUGUUGCAGCCUCUAAGUGAUAAGGAGAAGCGCUACGUUAGACGCGCCACAGUACACGGAUGACGAUAGGUGCAAACGUUAUGUACCGAAACUAAUGAGGAUCAACUCCAACGCGCGGCACCUGUUGAGGGCGGCAUGGGUAUGCACCUACUGCAGAAAAUGGGUUGGACCCCAGGCCAGGGUCUGGGUAAGGAAGGCACGGGCACGCUGCAGCCGUUACUGCUCGAAGUGAAGCUGGACACCAGAGGUCUACAGGCCAAAGAAGAGGUCAGUAGCCGCUACCGCACAGGA
RNAcentral lists this unclassified non-coding RNA (3826 nucleotides) under Manduca sexta (tobacco hornworm). RNAcentral describes it as "protein SON, transcript variant X1". Lineage: Eukaryota; Metazoa; Arthropoda; Insecta; Lepidoptera; Sphingidae. The record is from RNAcentral.